Molecule: non-coding RNA, 654 nt
Organism: Pocillopora verrucosa
Lineage: Eukaryota; Metazoa; Cnidaria; Anthozoa; Scleractinia; Pocilloporidae
Source: RefSeq, a predicted model, not a curated record
CCUUAUCGCUGUGUAUGGAGCGACUCUUGCUAUCACUUUAGCAUUUACUUUUACUGAAUACGGAAACGAAAAGAACACGACAGGCUAUAAAAAGUCUCAUGAUGACUUUGAACCGGAAUUUGAAGAUGCUUUAAGUGACUUGAAUAGGAAUGCUGAGGAUUAUGGCUUCUAUAAAAACGAACCAGAAGCUGACAUCGAUGAUGAAAAAGACGAUAACGAAGGCGAGGAAAGCGAUGUUUUGGAUUUAGAGAAGAGAGCACCGGACCCCAAAUCGCGGAAAGGGCACCCCCGCAGGUCUCUCAUCCGUCCAAAAGUAGGACGAGCCCUAUUGCGCCGCCGCCGUUCAGGAGUACGCCGUCGGCGUAGAAAUGGCUAAAGUAUGUCAAACAGUUGAUAUCCAUGAAGUCGAUUUAUGAAGACCGUCCGAGCUCGAAGACUAAAGAAAAAUUUAAUUUUAAAAUCCUUCUCUGCAGUAAUGCGUGGCCAUGACAAAGAAAUAUUAUUUAAAUCCUAGCUAAGCUUAGAAAUAGUUUUAUUUUCAUUAUACUAGAACAUUUCCUUUCAAAGUAAUGUAAACGUGGGCAAUAAUCAAGAAAUGUAAUUCGCGUAUUUUUGUGCUCAGUUGAGUGAAACUUUCCUUUCUUUUUUCAAGCG